AUUAUGCAGCCCUAAGAAAGGAGGAUGUCCUGCCAUUUGCAACAACAUGGAUGGACCGAGUGGAUACUGAAGCGCUGAUACUGAAGUGCCUUACCCAAAUCACACACUUGAUCAGUGGCCAGCACUGACACUGAGGCAGGCUGAUCCCAGAGUCGACUUCGUUGUGAAGACUAAAAGCUAUCAACUCUAUAAGGUGCCAUAAUAUAUGGAAGAUGCCAGUCAGAUUGACAAUGAAUCUCAAGGGUUGUUGUGAAAGCCAAGGAAAACAAAGAAAUGAAGAAUUCCACGUUUUCUGGCAUGAUUAAAGGAAAGGCAGCAAUACAUCCAAGUAUUCAGAAAAAUCAAAACUUGGCAGAUGAAAACAGUCCUUUAAACCAAGAGUAUUAAUACCACCACUGGAUGUGUAUUUCUUCCCCCACCCAUGGCUUUGGCUUUUGUCACUAAUUGAUUAUUUUUUAACAGAUGAAUACACACAUAAUAAAGAUGACUUUGGAAUAAUAAGAAAUAAAGAUUCAUGCAGAGAACCAGGAUUUAAUCACAAACUGGCAAUAUAACAGAACCUUCAUUUCCAGAAUGCAACUAUCACAUCAUUAACUUGUAAACACUGCUAAUACAAUUCUUUUAAAC
Molecule: long non-coding RNA, 627 nt
Organism: Ailuropoda melanoleuca (giant panda)
Lineage: Eukaryota; Metazoa; Chordata; Mammalia; Carnivora; Ursidae
Exons: 3
Source: RefSeq, a predicted model, not a curated record